CUACAAACAUAUAUGAAGAAUAGUUAAUUUAUUUUCUUUCAGCGUACCAUUUUUGCAGCAUGUCCUACCCAGCAUUUUAUGCCGAAAAUUAGAAUUAAAUAUAACUAAUUUACACGUGCAACAGUCUUUCAUUUUGAAUUUUCGAUAAUAGGAAAAAAAAAUAACUUAAGCAAUCUAACUUACUUGCAAGAAGCAAGAGUGGAUAAAACAGAACAUACAUUUCAUGAUAUUGCUAACAUUUUCUAUUACUUAUGUUUUCUACCAAACUAGUACUUCUACAUCAGGAAAAAUGCUUUGCAUAAGCAACAUUUCUCCUAUACUCAAGUUUGUUCACUAAAACGGAGAAUAAUAAGCUUCAAGAAAGG
Molecule: unclassified non-coding RNA, 365 nt
Filed under: Hevea brasiliensis (rubber tree)
Lineage: Eukaryota; Viridiplantae; Streptophyta; Magnoliopsida; Malpighiales; Euphorbiaceae
Source: RNAcentral